Molecule: ribosomal RNA, 271 nt
Filed under: uncultured archaeon
Lineage: Archaea
Description: partial 16S ribosomal RNA
Rfam family: Archaeal small subunit ribosomal RNA
Source: RNAcentral
CAGCGCCACGAGUGGGAACCACAAUUAUUGGGCCUAAAGCGUCCGUAGCCGGUCUGGCAAAUCUUUUGUGAAAUCAUACAGCUCAACUGUAUGAACUGCAGAAGAGACUACCAGACUUGGAACCGGGAGGAGUCAGAGGUAUUCAUUGGGGAGCGGUAAAAUGCUAUAAUCCUAUGAAGACCACCUGUGGCGAAGGCGUCUGACUAGAACGGAUUCGACGGUGAGGGACGAAAGCUAGGGGAUCGAUCCGGAUUAGAUACCCGCGUAGUCC